RNAcentral lists this ribosomal RNA (253 nucleotides) under uncultured bacterium. RNAcentral describes it as "partial 16S ribosomal RNA". It matches the Rfam family "Bacterial small subunit ribosomal RNA", at positions 524 to 776 of the family's 1533-position model. The record is from RNAcentral.
UACGAGGGGGGCAAGCGUUGUUCGGAAUUAUUGGGCGUAAAGAGCUCGUAGGCGGUUUGUCGCGUCUGCCGUGAAAGUCCGGGGCUCAACUCCGGAUCUGCGGUGGGUACGGGCAGACUAGAGUGAUGUAGGGGAGACUGGAAUUCCUGGUGUAGCGGUGAAAUGCGCAGAUAUCAGGAAGAACACCGAUGGCGAAGGCAGGUCUCUGGGCAUUAACUGACGCUGAGGAGCGAAAGCGUGGGGAGCGAUCCGG